Molecule: unclassified non-coding RNA, 320 nt
Filed under: Hevea brasiliensis (rubber tree)
Lineage: Eukaryota; Viridiplantae; Streptophyta; Magnoliopsida; Malpighiales; Euphorbiaceae
Source: RNAcentral
AGCAAGCUUGAUCAAGUGAAUCCGCUAUGUUCUGGCUCAAAUUUAUUCUGGCUAAAGUUUCAUGAAAUCCACCAAUCAUUUUUUCUGUUUAGGGCUUGUUUCUGAAGAUAUUUGUACUUGUCUUUGAGGAUUUUGUGUGAAAGCAAUUUCUUUGACACACUAAUUUGCAUUAAAAGCCUAUGCCUGUAAUUGUGGCUGAACGCAUAAUAUUGCUUACUUUUUUUCAGGAUUUCAUGGGUUUUUUAUAGUAUAGUGAACGUGCUGUUUUGAUAUAAAUAUGUAUUAAAAAAAAAUCUCCUUUUUUCCAUUCAAGUAAUGCU